GUAUUCACUUCAGCAGCACAUACAUUAAAAUUGGAACAAUACAGAGAAGACUCACAGGGCCCCUGAGCAAGGAUGGCAUGAAGCAUUCCAUAUUUUA
RNAcentral lists this small nuclear RNA (97 nucleotides) under Jaculus jaculus (lesser Egyptian jerboa). The record is from RNAcentral. Lineage: Eukaryota; Metazoa; Chordata; Mammalia; Rodentia; Dipodidae.